This 336-nucleotide unclassified non-coding RNA is filed under the name soil metagenome. Its description in RNAcentral is "partial contains 5.8S ribosomal RNA, internal transcribed spacer 2, and large subunit ribosomal RNA". The stretch from base 3 to 120 matches the Rfam family "5.8S ribosomal RNA", at positions 37 to 154 of the family's 154-position model. The record is from RNAcentral.
GGUGAAGAACGUAGCGAAAUGCGAUAAGUAGUGUGAAUUGCAGAAUUCAGUGAAUCAUCGAAUCUUUGAACGCACAUUGCGCCCCUUGGUAUUCCAUGGGGCAUGCCUGUUCGAGCGUCAUUUGUACCUUCAAGCUCUGCUUGGUGUUGGGUGUUUGUCUCGCCUCUGCGUGUAGACUCGCCUCAAAACAAUUGGCAGCCGGCGUAUUGAUUUCGGAGCGCAGUACAUCUCGCGCUUUGCACUCAUAACGACGACGUCCAAAAGUACAUUUUUACACUCUUGACCUCGGAUCAGGUAGGGAUACCCGCUGAACUUAAGCAUAUCAAUAAGCGGAGG